AGUGAACGCUGGCGGCAGGCCUAACACAUGCAAGUCGAGCGGCAGCGCGGGGGCAACCCUGGCGGCGAGCGGCGGACGGGUGAGGAAUUCGUCGGAAUCUGCCUUUUUGUGGGGGAUAACGUAGGGAAACUUACGCUAAUACCGCAUACGUCCUGCGGGAGAAAGUGGGGGACCGCAAGGCCUCACGCAGAAAGAUGAGCCGACGACCGAUUAGCUAGUUGGUGGGGUAAAGGCCCACCAAGGCGACGAUCGGUAGCUGGUCUGAGAGGAUGAUCAGCCACACUGGGACUGAGACACGGCCCAGACUCCUACGGGAGGCAGCAGUGGGGAAUAUUGGACAAUGGGCGCAAGCCUGAUCCAGCCAUGCCGCGUGUGUGAAGAAGGCCUUCGGGUUGUAAAGCACUUUUGUCCGGAAAGAAAUCCCUGGAGCUAAUACCUUCGGGGGAUGACGGUACCGGAAGAAUAAGCACCGGCUAACUUCGUG
Molecule: ribosomal RNA, 484 nt
Filed under: uncultured bacterium
Lineage: Bacteria
Description: partial 16S ribosomal RNA
Rfam family: Bacterial small subunit ribosomal RNA
Source: RNAcentral